GCGAGUCGGUCCCACCCCUUCCCAUCCCGAACAGGACCGUGAAACGACUCCACGCCGAUGAUAGUGCGGAUUGCCCGUGUGAAAGUAGGUA
This 91-nucleotide ribosomal RNA is filed under the name Burkholderia pseudomallei 1655. Lineage: Bacteria; Pseudomonadati; Pseudomonadota; Betaproteobacteria; Burkholderiales; Burkholderiaceae. The record is from RNAcentral.